CGUCGCGAGGUCCUUUUAUCAGCUCUCCCUGUGUCUGGCGGAGCCAUGGUUGUUUUAGCGGGCCUAGCUGAAGAACUCGGAGGAAAUGUGAUCUCAUUGCUGAAUGAGUUGGGGGGGAAAAGGGAUCCUCUGACAUGAGGUGCUGAGGACCUCCAACAAGCUGGGUUUCCUCACUGCCCUCGCCUUCAGCACUGAUGCAGCGCCAUGUUUCUGCUGCAGCAAAGGAUAGCCUCCCUCUCCCAGGCUUCAGCAGGGCUUCAGCAUCAAAGGUCACUUUGAUGGCAGAAGUAUGAGCCUGAUGAACUGGUGACAGCAGUUUCUGCUGCAGCAAAGGAUGGCCCCUUCUCCCAGGCUUCAGCAGGGCUUGACUGACGAAUCCAACAAUCAUGGAGAUAUGGAGUGUCGGCAGCCUUUGAGUAUGGAUGCUAAGUCAGCGUUGAGCAGCAGGACGCACCGUCAGCACUUUGAUCUGCGGUCACUCGCUUCUGGAGUGAAAUGUAACUGCUUUGCAAAUGACCGAACUUUGUAAAGGCAGCAACAUUUGUUGACGGCAUCAGAUUUAGCCUUUUCCCUUUGUCUACUGCUAAUCAAUAACUCAUAAAAUAUCAAUCAAUAAAUUCAAUCACUCCAAA
Perca fluviatilis (European perch) is the source of this 632-nucleotide long non-coding RNA. RefSeq lists it as uncharacterized. Lineage: Eukaryota; Metazoa; Chordata; Actinopteri; Perciformes; Percidae. The transcript has 9 exons. The record is from RefSeq and is a predicted model, not a curated record.